RNAcentral lists this ribosomal RNA (291 nucleotides) under uncultured bacterium. RNAcentral describes it as "partial 16S ribosomal RNA". It matches the Rfam family "Bacterial small subunit ribosomal RNA", at positions 28 to 326 of the family's 1533-position model. The record is from RNAcentral.
GACGAACGCUGGCGGCGUGCUUCACACAUGCAAGUCGAACGGUGAAGCCCCUUCGGGGGCGGAUCAGUGGCGAACGGGUGAGUAACACGUGGGCAACCUGCCCCUGACUCUGGGAUAACCCCGGGAACCGGAGCUAAUACCGGAUACGACCUCUGACCGCAUGGUCUGGAGGUGGAAAGUUUUUCGGUCAGGAUGGCCCGCGGCUAUCAGCUUGUUGGCGGGGUAACGGCCCACCAAGGCGACGACGGGNGCCGGCCUGAGAGGGCGACCGGCCACACUGGGACUGAGACA